GACGAACGCUGGCGGCGUGCCUAAUACAUGCAAGUAGAACGCUGAAGGAGGAGCUUGCUCUUCUGGAUGAGUUGCGAACGGGUGAGUAACGCGUAGGUAACCUGCCUGGUAGCGGGGGAUAACUAUUGGAAACGAUAGCUAAUACCGCAUAACAGUAGAUGUUGCAUGACAUUUGCUUAAAAGGUGCAAUUGCACCACUACCAGAUGGACCUGCGUUGUAUUAGCUAGUUGGUGGGGUAACGGCUCACCAAGGCGACGAUACAUAGCCGACCUGAGAGGGUGAUCGGCCACACUGGGACUGAGACACGGCCCAGACUCCUACGGGAGGCAGCAGUAGGGAAUCGUCGGCAAUGGACGGAAGUCUGACCGAGAAACGCCGCGGGAGUGAAGAAGGUUGUCGGAUCGUAAAGCUCUGUUGUAAGAGAAGAACGAGUGUGAGAGUGGAAAGUUCACACUGUGACGGUAUCUUACCAGAAAGAGACGGCUAACUACGUG
Molecule: ribosomal RNA, 495 nt
Filed under: uncultured bacterium
Lineage: Bacteria
Description: partial 16S ribosomal RNA
Rfam family: Bacterial small subunit ribosomal RNA
Source: RNAcentral